Molecule: ribosomal RNA, 292 nt
Filed under: uncultured bacterium
Lineage: Bacteria
Also listed under: 1 other name
Description: partial 16S ribosomal RNA
Source: RNAcentral
GGACUACAGGGGUAUCUAAUCCUGUUUGAUCCCCACGCUUUCGUGCCUCAGCGUCAAUAUUUGUGUAGCCAGCUGCCUUCGCAAUUGGUGUUCUAUGUCAUAUCUAUGCAUUUCACCGCUACAUGACAUAUUCCGCUAACCUCCACAACAUUCAAGAUCUAUAGUAUCAACGGCAGUUUCCGAGUUAAGCUCGGAGAUUUCACCACUGACUUACAGAUCCGCCUACGCACCCUUUAAACCCAGUGAAUCCGGAUAACGCUUGCACCCUCCGUAUUACCGCGGCUGCUGGCAC